GUCGCAAGACCAAAGUGGGGGACCUUCGGGCCUCAUGCCAUCAGAUGUGCCCAGAUGGGAUUAGCUAGUAGGUGGGGUAACGGCUCACCUAGGCGACGAUCCCUAGCUGGUCUGAGAGGAUGACCAGCCACACUGGAACUGAGACACGGUCCAGACUCCUACGGGAGGCAGCAGUGGGGAAUAUUGCACAAUGGGCGCAAGCCUGAUGCAGCCAUGCCGCGUGUGUGAAGAAGGCCUUCGGGUUGUAAAGCACUUUCAGCGGGGAGGAAGGCGAUAAGGUUAAUAACCUCAUCGAUUGACGUUACCCGCAGAAGAAGCACCGGCUAACUCCGUGCCAGCAGCCGCGGUAAUACGGAGGGUGCAAGCGUUAAUCGGAAUUACUGGGCGUAAAGCGCACGCAGGCGGUCUGUCAAGUCGGAUGUGAAAUCCCCGGGCUCAACCUGGGAACUGCAUUCGAAACUGGCAGGCUAGAGUCUUGUAGAGGGGGGUAGAAUUCCAGGUGUAGCGGUGAAAUGCGUAGAGAUCUGGAGGAAUACCGGUGGCGAAGGCGGCCCCCUGGACAAAGACUGACGCUCAGGUGCGAAAGCGUGGGGAGCAAACAGGAUUAGAUACCCUGGUAGUCCACGCCGUAAACGAUGUCGAUUUGGAGGUUGUGCCCUUGAGGCGUGGCUUCCGGAGCUAACGCGUUAAAUCGACCGCCUGGGGAGUACGGCCGCAAGGUUAAAACUCAAAUGAAUUGACGGGGGCCCGCACAAGCGGUGGAGCAUGUGGUUUAAUUCGAUGCAACGCGAAGAACCUUACCUGGUCUUGACAUCCACAGAACUUUCCAGAGAUGGAUUGGUGCCUUCGGGAACUGUGAGACAGGUGCUGCAUGGCUGUCGUCAGCUCGUGUUGUGAAAUGUUGGGUUAAGUCCCGCAACGAGCGCAACCCUUAUCCUUUGUUGCCAGCGGU
This 952-nucleotide ribosomal RNA is filed under the name Klebsiella pneumoniae. RNAcentral's name for it is "bacterial SSU rRNA". It matches the Rfam family "Bacterial small subunit ribosomal RNA", at positions 192 to 1125 of the family's 1533-position model. Lineage: Bacteria; Pseudomonadati; Pseudomonadota; Gammaproteobacteria; Enterobacterales; Enterobacteriaceae. The record is from RNAcentral.